This 661-nucleotide long non-coding RNA is filed under the name Homo sapiens (human). Its description in RNAcentral is "non-protein coding lnc-NR4A2-14:1". Lineage: Eukaryota; Metazoa; Chordata; Mammalia; Primates; Hominidae. The record is from RNAcentral.
CCUCUGUGUGUUGGCCUACUCCUCACAUGACAAAAACUAGCCCCUACUUCAAUUAUAUAUCAAAUCUCCUGAUUAGUAAACAUAAAUAUUCUCCUUACCCUUUCAAUUUUAUCUAUCAUGGCAGGCAGCUGAGGUGCACUUAAUGAAACACAACUACGUAAAAUCCUAGCAUACUCCUCAAUCACUCAUACAGGCUGAAUAAUGGCAGUGCUAAUAUACAACCCAAAUAUUACCAUUUUUAACCUGGCCAUAUAUAUUACUCUAACAACUACCGCAUUCCUAGUACUCAACCUAAACUCAAGCACUACAGCGCUAUUACUAUCUCGCAUCUGAAACAAAUUAACCUGACUAACACCCAUGAUCCCAUCUAUUCUACUAUCACUAGGAGGCCCUCCCCCAUUAACUGGCUUUCUACCCAAAUGAAUUAUCAUGAAGAGUUUACAAAAAAUAAUAACCUUACCAUUCCUACUGCUAUAGCUAUUAUAACCUCCUUAACCUAUACUUUUACAUACGCCUAAUCUACUCUGCUUCAAUUACACUAUUCCCCAUGUACAACAAUGUAAAAAUAAAGUGACAAUUUGAAAACACAAAACCCAUACUACUCCUCCCCCCACUAACCAUCCUCGCCACCUUCCUCCUACCAAUCUCCCCACUUUAUCUA